This 267-nucleotide unclassified non-coding RNA is filed under the name Arthrothamnus bifidus. RNAcentral describes it as "ITS2". The record is from RNAcentral. Lineage: Eukaryota; Phaeophyceae; Laminariales; Laminariaceae.
GACACCACUCGCCCCUCUUCUCCUCCGGUCUUUCGGGACUGAAAGGGGUCGCGGCGGCGGACUUUGAGUGUUCCGGAGUUCCCAUGCUCCGAGUGCACCUAAUCUCGUGAACGAAGCCUCUCGCGCCCUGCCGCACAGAGUUGUUGACGGCGCUCGCUUCGGAGGCGACUCUCGACUCACCAAACGUGCGCAGGCUGCCUGCUUCAUUCCGGCGCUCCGACGCCGACCCGGUCAAAAAGGUCAGCGUUGGAAACCGUACCACUUUCG